CCUACGGGAGGCUGCAGUGAGGAAUAUUGGUCAAUGGACGAGAGUCUGAACCAGCCAAGUAGCGUGAAGGAUGACUGCCCUAUGGGUUGUAAACUUCUUUUAUAUGGGAAUAAAAUGUUCCACGUGUGGGAUUUUGUAUGUACCAUAUGAAUAAGGAUCGGCUAACUCCGUGCCAGCAGCCGCGGUAAUACGGAGGAUCCGAGCGUUAUCCGGAUUUAUUGGGUUUAAAGGGAGCGUAGGUGGAUUGUUAAGUCAGUUGUGAAAGUUUGCGGCUCAACCGUAAAAUUGCAGUUGAAACUGGCAGUCUUGAGUACAGUAGAGGUGGGCGGAAUUCGUGGUGUAGCGGUGAAAUGCUUAGAUAUCACGAAGAACUACGAUUGCGAAGGCAGUUCACUGGACUGCAACUGACACUGAGGCUCGAAAGUGUGGGUAUCAAACAGGAUUAGAUACCCUUGUAGUC
This 460-nucleotide ribosomal RNA is filed under the name uncultured bacterium. RNAcentral describes it as "partial 16S ribosomal RNA". It matches the Rfam family "Bacterial small subunit ribosomal RNA", at positions 338 to 795 of the family's 1533-position model. The record is from RNAcentral.